Long non-coding RNA from Mesocricetus auratus (golden hamster), 692 nucleotides. RefSeq lists it as uncharacterized. The record is from RefSeq and is a predicted model, not a curated record. NCBI's taxonomy places the organism in Eukaryota, Metazoa, Chordata, Mammalia, Rodentia, Cricetidae. The transcript has 3 exons.
UUAGAUCAGCAGAAUUGGGGGUUGAAAGGUCCAUCUCAGGAAGGUUUAAAAAAAAAAAAACCAACGAGGAUAAGGAGACGGGAGAGGAAGCGGUAACAAGACAAAAGCACAGGCAGACAUACAAUUCAGAUGCAGGAAAUGGUUCAAGUUGAAGCAGACAGGUGGAAGCAGAGACAGAAAAACAGGGAAGAAAUGAUCCUGGGAAGCUCGACCAGACUACCUUCAACAGCAGACAUGUAUUAGCUCACAUAAGAAGUCGGCUGCAGCUGGUGACUCAGAAAUCAAGAACAGGUCCCAGAAACCACAGGUUUGGUAUGUUGGUAACUGACCGCCUAGCGCCUCGCGCUCCAGACCACGAGGUGUUGAGGGGAGGCAUCUCUGUCUUCCGCUGCUCAGAAGAAACCUGCCCAAGAAGCCCACCAGCCUGUAUUUUCUCAAGAAUCGGUAUCCAGAGUAGAAUCCAUUGCGUGAACCAAUCAAUUGCCCUGAAAGCAGACUCACGGGUGGCUUAGUGAAGGACACAGCUCUGCAAAAGGGGAUGAUGGCUCUCCAGCAGAGCUGCUGUCUCACAUGCAAAACGGCAGGUGGGACACGCUCACCCACAGCAUCUGUGUAGUUAAACACAGCUACUUUUUUCAUUGAAAACAGAAAGCCUGGUUUUCUCCAGCCUUCCGAAAACUACUGCAUCAAUA